UUUCCCCCGCCUCCCCUAUUCAUCUCCAGCCCUCCCACGCCGGCCGCCGCCACUCCUUUGCGCGGCUGCAACCUACCUGCAUCCCAGCACGCCGCCCCUCACGACUCCCCUGCGACCCUCCGUCCCGGCGCGCCGUCCCUUGUCACCACCCCUGCGGCCCUGCAUCCCGACGCGCGCCCCUCGUCACCGCUCCCCCUGCGACCAAUGGUGGAUCCAAGGUGUCAACCAUGUAAAACAAUCCAGGCGGCCUCUUGCUGGUCCCUUCUUUGCAUUCAUUUAAUCUCAUUGCUCGAACGACGCCACAGGCCAUCUUGGCUGAGGAGGGCAUCCUUCCAAUCUCACAUUCCAUGCCCGACCAAACUGCAAUCCUGUGCAGUGGGGAAGGCGUACAUCAAAGGCAGUUUGUAGCUGAAUGGGCAGCCACUAUUGUUGGUGAAAUUGCCAGAGAGUAGAAAUUAUUGCAGACUGGUCGCAUGUAUGCAAGGAGCAAGAAGAGAGUAAUUUUUUGCUUUUGAGGAUUUUUAUGUUGUGUUGUGCUACUGGAAUCUGAGACGUACAUCCUAGAGUUUUGUUUUAGGAGAUACUGAUGAUGUGCUUUCUUUAGAUUCAGACCUCUACUUGCUAUAUGAUGAGAAAGUACGGCCUGGAUUUCGUAAUGUGGGAUGCUGAUGAUGCGCGUUCUUUAGUUUCAAACAUCUGAAGAUACAUAUUACCUGGAUGGCUAAGAUUUGUAGGUGCUGUACAAGCAACUAAGUGAUUCAAUUCACCUAAGGCGUGGAUGUAGUUCUGCACAGCGAACUCAAGCACCACUUCUAGUUUUGUUGGAAAGUGGAUAAGUCCUUUUGGAGCAUUACAUGAUUUGUUCAGUGCACUUCUCUAUGUUCCUUACAUGCCAAAGGAAAAGGUCUGUAGCAAAAAAAGGAAGCUCACUGAGCACAUCAUUACAAAUUACCUGGCGAAAGGCCAGGCGAUGAAGAGGAUAAUCAAGUUGAGAGCCCCAAAUGUAGACGUAUAAUGGCUGAAUGUGCUUCUCAUCAGCGCUUUGGCUGCAUCCCAUGUCUCCAGGCAGGAACUAAAGUACUCUUGAAGAGCCUGAAAAUCAAAACAGAGACGUAGCUCUUUCUACAGUUGUAAGUUGUGAACCUAAAUUUAAACUUGAUGGUGCUGAACUUUCAAAUGAAUUCUGGGCAGUGUAUGUCGAUAUGGAUCUUGGUGCGAAGUCGCAAAAACUUAAGAUUUGGUGCGAAGACGCAAAAACUGCUACUCUUGGUAAUGCAGAAAAAAACAAAGAUUGCAUGGCCUUCAACCUUUAUUCAAAAGAUAAAUGGAUGAUUAUAUGGGUGCGUGGCAAGUAUACUGAUGGUGGUGGUGGUGGUGGUGGUGGUGGUGGUGGUGGUGAUGAUGAUGAUGAUGAUGAUGAUGAUGUUGGAUGCUUUCAAUUUUAGUUUAGUUGUAGGGAUGAUGUUCCUCGGUUAAGUUUUAGUUAAGUUGCAGGGAUGUUGAUGCACGCUUUUGGUUUGAGUUUUGUUCUCAAGAAAAUAUUUAGAUUAUGCAUCACAUUUGGAUGAUGUUCCUCGUGUAAUAUCCGCUGUUGUAAUCCAACAAUUUUAUCUAAUAUAUGAUUCUUCCUCGUGUGAGUA
This is a long non-coding RNA of Triticum aestivum (bread wheat), 1640 nucleotides long. RefSeq lists it as uncharacterized. The transcript is spliced from 5 exons. The record is from RefSeq and is a predicted model, not a curated record. NCBI's taxonomy places the organism in Eukaryota, Viridiplantae, Streptophyta, Magnoliopsida, Poales, Poaceae.